UACGGAGGAUGCAAGCGUUAUCCGGAUUUAUUGGGUUUAAAGGGUGCGCAGGCGGAUAGUUAAGUCAGCGGUGAAAUCUCACGGCUCAACCGUGGAACUGCCGUUGAUACUGGCUGUCUGGAGUACGGACGGCGCCGGCGGAAUGUGUCAUGUAGCGGUGAAAUGCUUAGAUAUUACACAGAACACCAAUUGCGUAGGCAGCUUACUGGGCCGACACUGACGCUGAGGCACGAAAGCGUGGGGAUCAAACAGGA
This 254-nucleotide ribosomal RNA is filed under the name uncultured prokaryote. Its description in RNAcentral is "partial 16S ribosomal RNA". It matches the Rfam family "Bacterial small subunit ribosomal RNA", at positions 524 to 777 of the family's 1533-position model. The record is from RNAcentral.